Non-coding RNA from Pelobates cultripes (western spadefoot toad), 229 nucleotides. Lineage: Eukaryota; Metazoa; Chordata; Amphibia; Anura; Pelobatidae. The record is from the annotation of a GenBank genome assembly.
CUUAAACAGGAUAUAGAUCUCUUGUCUGCUGCCGUUGCCAGCCCUCCCCUUCUAACCUGCCUGGAUUUUCUGUAGCUGUCCAAUCACAGACUUCCCAAUACAGCUCAAUGAGAAGUCUUGGCAAGGUGGGUGCUCUUUGCAACUGCUGCCUCUUGAGUUCAGUGCAACUAAGCUAACCAAACCAGGAAGUAACUGGACCUGUUGUCUGCUUGCAAAGCCAGGGGGGGGG